CCCCUGUCCCCCAGGUACCCCGCAGAAGACAUCGGUUGCAGCUGCACCAGGAGCGGAUGUGGGAGCUCCGGGAAAAGCUGCGCCAGGCCCAGAAGCGACUCCGGAAGGUCCAGAGAGAAAAACGUAGCUUAGAGCAGAAGAACCAGCGACUUCAGGAGUCCAGGGAGCAGCUCAAGGAGUCCACAGAGACUCUACAUCAGGAGCUCAGGGAGCGGGAGAGGAGAGAGAGCACCCUGAGCUCCAGAGUACGUACCAGUUUUCAGCAAGUUUCCUGGAGAUCUACAACGAAUCCCUGCGGGAUCUGCUGCUGUGGAGAGGGGAGCGCAGAGCAGACCUCGAAAUCCGACGGAUCAGCCCCGACAGUAACGAGCUCCACGUGCCCAACCUCACCUGGGUGCCAGUCACCGGGGAGGAGGAGGUGGGAAAACGCCGAAUUCCUGGGAUUUCAGGAAGUUUGGGAAUUCUGGGGGGGAAAUUGGAGACUUUUGGGGUGAUUUGUCCCUAUUUUGGGCUGAUUUCUCUCCAUUUUGGGGUGUUUUGGGACGAUUUCUCCCCAUUUGGGGCUGAUUUUGCCACAUUCUGGGGGUUUUAAUCCCUAUUUUGGGAUGUUUUCUCCACAUUUUGGGGUGAUUUCUCUCCAUUUUGGGUUCAGUAGGGCCUGUCACAAUAGGACAGGGGCUGAGGGGGCUAAACUGGGAAAAAACUUCUUUAUCUCAGACCUGCCGUUUACACCCAUGGCAUUCAGCACCAAACCAAACCAUCCCUGUUCUUUGCUGUUAGUUCUUGAGUUUUGCUCCAGGAGUCCCGGGAGCAGCUCCAGAGGGAGCUCAAGGAGUCCCGGGAGCAGCUCCAGAGGCAGCUCAAGGAGUCCCGGGAGCAGCUCCAGAGGGAGCUCAAGGAGUCCCGGGAGCAGCUCCACAGGGAGCUCAGUGAGCGCCGGAUUGAGUCAGACAACGGGACUCAUUUCAAGAACAGCCCAGUAGCCCCUUGGGCACAGGAGCAUGGGAUUGAAUGGGUCUAUCACAUUCCAUAUCUGGCACCUGCUGCAGGAAAAGUAGAAAGGUGUAAUGGACUGUUGAAGACAACCCUAAAGGCACUAGGUGAGGGAACUUACAAAAAUUGGGAUAAGAACUUAGCCAAGGCCACCUGGCUCGUCAACACUAGAGGCUCUGUCAACCGAGCUGGUCCUGCCCAAGCAGAAUCCCUCCACACUGGAGAUGGAGACAGAGUUCCAGCCAUCCAUCUCAAAGGUAUGUUAGGUAAGGCCCUUUGGAUCACUCCUCCCUCAGGCCAAGACAAACCCAGUCGUGGGAUUGGUUUUGCUCAAGGGCCCAGAAAUACCUGGUGGGUUAUGAGGAAGGAUGGAGAGAUCCAAUGUGUCCCUCAAGGAAAUCUAGCCCUGGGGAAAAACUAAUUCUGUGCCCUAAGUUGUGUUUUACAGGAGACCAGACACCAGAUGGAAAAGACCCGAACAAAGCGAUACCAGUAUCCAAGGAUGUCCGAUGAUGAGACAGCCCUAAACCCCCAAAUUUCCCUCAAAAUCCUCCCUGAAUCCAAAAAUUCUCCCCUAAAUCCCCAAAUUCCUCCCUGAAUCCCAAAUUUCCCCUCCCCAGGGGGAGAGGGGAAAUUGGAGACAUGUUAGUAACCAUUUUCUCCCUGGAGGAGAAUUUUGGGGAAUCCAUCAAUUCCCUGUGCUUCGCCAGCAAGGUGGGAGUGGGAUUUGGGGGGAUU
Pipra filicauda (Wire-tailed manakin) is the source of this 1731-nucleotide long non-coding RNA. RefSeq lists it as uncharacterized. The record is from RefSeq and is a predicted model, not a curated record. Lineage: Eukaryota; Metazoa; Chordata; Aves; Passeriformes; Pipridae. The transcript has 3 exons.